RNAcentral lists this ribosomal RNA (439 nucleotides) under uncultured bacterium. RNAcentral describes it as "partial 16S ribosomal RNA". It matches the Rfam family "Bacterial small subunit ribosomal RNA", at positions 338 to 795 of the family's 1533-position model. The record is from RNAcentral.
CCUACGGGAGGCAGCAGUGGGGGAUAUUGCACAAUGGAGGCAACUCUGAUGCAGCGACGCCGCGUGAGGGAAGACGGUCUUCGGAUUGUAAACCUCUGUCUUUGGGGAAGAAAAUGACGGUACCCAAAGACUAAGCUCCGGCAAACUACGUGCCAGCAGCCGCGGUCAUACGUAGGGAGCGAGCGUUUUCCGGAAUUACUGGGUGUAACGGGAGCGUAGGCGGGCGAGAAAGUUGAAGGUUAAGUCUACCGGCUUAACUGGUAGCUGCGUUCAAAACUUGGUGUCUUGAGUGAAGUAGAGGCAGGCGGAAUUCCUAGUGUAGCGGUGAAAUGCGUAGAUAUUAGGAGGAACACCAGAGGCGAAGGCAGCCUGCUGGGCUUUAACUGACGCUGAGGCUCGAAAGCGUGGGGAGCAAACAGGAUUAGAUACCCCGGUAGUC